UAAUGGAGCAAGGUCCAUUUAUGGCAAACU
This 30-nucleotide non-coding RNA is filed under the name Homo sapiens (human). The record is from RNAcentral. Lineage: Eukaryota; Metazoa; Chordata; Mammalia; Primates; Hominidae.